CAGUUGUAGCUAAAUUGACACUGAGAGGUCAAUUGGGUGUUCGUCAUGAGAUUUUAUGGUUUCCAUUGGCGAGUCUGCCCCCAGAGCCUCUCACACUU
Molecule: small nucleolar RNA, 98 nt
Organism: Malania oleifera
Lineage: Eukaryota; Viridiplantae; Streptophyta; Magnoliopsida; Santalales; Ximeniaceae
Product: small nucleolar RNA snoR109
Exons: 1
Source: RefSeq, a predicted model, not a curated record